CAGAGUAAUAUGUGCUAUAAAACUUGGAUUCAGCAAUGAGAUAAAAAGUGUAAAUCAGUGUGCAUCCCUGCACCACACACUCUUUGGAUUAUUAGGUUUUUGUCUGCGACGUCCUUUGGUAAGAUCUGUACAGUACACCCCCUCAUUCUAUGUAAUCCACCCCCCAAAAGCUCUGUCAAUAUCCCACUCUAGAGAUUGAUUUUUCCCUGCUCCCGCUCCCUCGUUAACCUGUACGAAACCCGCGGCGACCUGAAUUCCCAGUUGGGGAAUGCAUUCCAACCAAGUGAAAUUGUCCAACAGCAUUUCCCAUUUGCGGGAACCCGUAGAUCCGAACUUGUGCUGCCCUUUUUACACGUUACAAGGCCGGAUAUAUGGGAUCCUGCCGAUGGGUGGAAAAAGCAUCGAUCGAUUGGCGACUCCCAGAAGAAAAAAAAAUCCUUGGUGGGGUGGUGGUCCUGGUGAAUGAACCAACAACAAACAAAUCGUGGAAAAAGCGAUUCACUUUGUGUCUCCAUGUGUGUAUGUGACUGUGUGUGUUUCUAUUUUGUGGUGCAAGGCAAAUUCCAACAAACCAGCAGCUUUCCCUCAGUUUUUUGUGUGCAGGAAAAUCGUGAAAAAUGCAACCAAACCAAGGCAAUACCUGCAAAAUUACACAUCGACAAUAGUGGCGCGGUCAUGUGAGUGAGAAUUUCAGCCCCUGGUGGGUGUGAGACGAUCUUCAUUGUGUAAGUGUGUGUACAAAUACGCGCCCGUAGUAGUAGUGGUGGUGGAAACGGAAAAAGGAUGCAGAAUCCGUAAAUUUGGACCACUGCCAACUGAUUUUGAGAAAAAAAAAAAACUGUGUGUGUGAGCUCCAUAAGGCGAUCGAAAACAAUAGCCAAUUGGUAGCAAUCGACAGGAGAAACACAAAUUCCAGUUCUUAGUUUUCCCCGAGCUUUCCUUCCUCCAACCCCUCUCAUCCCACACUAUAUGCAAUUUAAUUUAGAGUAAGCAAAAUUGGUACAACGAAAAAAAAAACAAAAAAAAUCGAAAUAAAAGCAAAACUACAAACAA
This is a long non-coding RNA of Culex quinquefasciatus (southern house mosquito), 1053 nucleotides long. RefSeq lists it as uncharacterized. Lineage: Eukaryota; Metazoa; Arthropoda; Insecta; Diptera; Culicidae. The transcript has 2 exons. The record is from RefSeq and is a predicted model, not a curated record.